GCCACCGUAGCUCAGUUGGUAGAGCAGUUCAUUCGUAAUGAACGGGUCGGGGGUUCAAAUCCUCUCGGUGGCU
RNAcentral lists this transfer RNA (73 nucleotides) under Fidelibacterota bacterium. Its description in RNAcentral is "tRNA-Thr". It matches the Rfam family "tRNA". Rfam says of the family: Transfer RNA (tRNA) molecules are approximately 80 nucleotides in length. Their secondary structure includes four short double-helical elements and three loops (D, anti-codon, and T loops). Lineage: Bacteria; Pseudomonadati; Fidelibacterota. RNAcentral also lists the same sequence under 1 other name. The record is from RNAcentral.